RNAcentral lists this ribosomal RNA (972 nucleotides) under uncultured bacterium BOL-134. RNAcentral describes it as "bacterial SSU rRNA". It matches the Rfam family "Bacterial small subunit ribosomal RNA", at positions 523 to 1482 of the family's 1533-position model. The record is from RNAcentral.
AUGCGUAGGGUCCGAACGUUAUCCGGUAUUAAUGGGCGUAAAGAGAGGCGUAGGCGUCUUAGUAAGUCUUUUGUCAAAGACCAGGGCUCAACCCUGGAACGGCAUUGGAAACUACUAGGAUUGAGACAGAGAGAGGUGAAUGGAAUUCCCGGUGGAGUGGUGAAAUACGUUGAUAUCGGGAGGAACACCAGAGGCGAAGGCGAUUCACUGGCUCUGUUCUGACGCUGAGGCUCGAAAGCGUGGGUAGCAAAACGGAUUAGAUACCCGUGUAGUCCACGCUGUAAACGAUGGAUGCUAGCUGUUUGACAUAACGGUCUUUUUUCUUCGGAAAUUAAAUUGGAGUGUUGAGUGGCGCAGUUAACACGAUAAGCAUCCCGCCUGUGGAGUACGGCCGCAAGGCUAAAACAUAAAUGAAUUGGCGGGGACCCGCACAAGCGGAGGAGCGCGUGGUUUAAUUCGAUGGUAAUCGAAGAACCUUACCAAGGUUUGACAUACUGAUCGUAUCUUUUCGAAAGAUUUGAGUCAGCUAGGCUGGAUCAUGUACAGGUGCUGCAUGGCCGUCGUCAGUUCGUGUCGUGAGAUGUAGGGUUAAGUCCCGAAACGAACGCAACCCCUAUCCUAUGUUAUAUGUGUCUUAGGAAACUGCAUCGGUAAAACGGUGAGGAAGGAGGGGAUGACGCCUGGUCCGCAUGGCCCUUAUACCUUGGGCGACACACGCGCUACAAUGGCCGGUACAACGGGUAGCCAAACCGUAAGGUGGAGCAAAUCCUAAAAAACCGGUCUCAGUUCGGAUUGAGGUCUGCAACUCGACCUCAUGAAGUUGGAUUCGCUAGUAAUCGUAGAUCAGCCAUGCUGCGGUGAAUACGUUCUCGGGUCUUGCACACACCGCCCGUCAAGUCAUGGGAGCAGGUAAUACCUGAAGGGGUCUUGUAUUUAUAUGGGGCUGCGAAGGUAAUGCUUGUAACUGGGACU